CCGGAACAUUCUAGGAAGUCGAAUAAUGUCUGGAUCAGAGAAAAGAUUGAACAAGAACGGCUGCACAUCUUCAAGUGUCUCGGGUCCUCCGAGAUUAAGCAACAAGACCCCAACCUUCUCAUUCCCAACAGCAAAAGCCGGCACCUCCGGAGCUUCAGAUGCCACCACAGCCUCCGUAGUCGACGCAAACCUUUCCCUUACCCUCCUCCGCGUCGG
RNAcentral lists this unclassified non-coding RNA (216 nucleotides) under Hevea brasiliensis (rubber tree). The record is from RNAcentral. Lineage: Eukaryota; Viridiplantae; Streptophyta; Magnoliopsida; Malpighiales; Euphorbiaceae.